AGUGAACGCUGGCGGUAGGCCUAACACAUGCAAGUCGAACGGCAGCACAGUAAGAGCUUGCUCUUACGGGUGGCGAGUGGCGGACGGGUGAGGAAUACAUCGGAAUCUACUUUUUCGUGGGGGAUAACGUAGGGAAACUUACGCUAAUACCGCAUACGACCUACGGGUGAAAGCAGGGGAUCUUCGGACCUUGCGCGAUUGAAUGAGCCGAUGUCGGAUUAGCUAGUUGGCGGGGUAAAGGCCCACCAAGGCGAUGAUCCGUAGCUGGUCUGAGAGGAUGAUCAGCCACACUGGAACUGAGACAGGGACCAGACUCCUACGGGAGGCAGCAGUGGGGAAUAUUGGACAAUGGGCGCAAGCCUGAUACAGCAAUACCGCGUGGGUGAAGAAGGCCUUCGGGUUGUAAAGCCCUUUUGUUGGGAAAGAAAAGCAGCAGGUUAAUACCCCGCUGUUCUGACGGUACCCAAAGAAUAAGCACCGGCUAACUUCGUG
Molecule: ribosomal RNA, 492 nt
Filed under: uncultured bacterium
Lineage: Bacteria
Description: partial 16S ribosomal RNA
Rfam family: Bacterial small subunit ribosomal RNA
Source: RNAcentral